CUGAUUUGAAGAGCUUGCUCAGAUAUGACGAUGGACAUUGCAAAGAGUGGCGAACGGGUGAGUAACACGUGGGAAACCUACCUCUUAGCAGGGGAUAACAUUUGGAAACAGAUGCUAAUACCGUAUAACAAUGACAACCGCAUGGUUGUUAUUUAAAAGAUGGUUCUGCUAUCACUAAGAGAUGGUCCCGCGGUGCAUUAGCUAGUUGGUAAGGUAAUGGCUUACCAAGGCGAUGAUGCAUAGCCGAGUUGAGAGACUGAUCGGCCACAAUGGGACUGAGACACGGCCCAUACUCCUACGGGAGGCAGCAGUAGGGAAUCUUCCACAAUGGGCGAAAGCCUGAUGGAGCAACGCCGCGUGUGUGAUGAAGGGUUUCGGCUCGUAAAACACUGUUGUAAGAGAAGAAUGACAUUGAGAGUAACUGUUCAAUGUGUGACGGUAUCUUACCAGAAAGGAACGGCUAAAUACGUGCCAGCAGCCGCGGUAAUACGUAUGUUCCAAGCGUUAUCCGGAUUUAUUGGGCGUAAAGCGAGCGCAGACGGUUAUUUAAGUCUGAAGUGAAAGCCCUCAGCUCAACUGAGGAAUUGCUUUGGAAACUGGAUGACUUGAGUGCAGUAGAGGAAAGUGGAACUCCAUGUGUAGCGGUGAAAUGCGUAGAUAUAUGGAAGAACACCAGUGGCGAAGGCGGCUUUCUGGACUGUAACUGACGUUGAGGCUCGAAAGUGUGGGUAGCAAACAGGAUUAGAUACCCUGGUAGUCCACACCGUAAACGAUGAGUGCUAGGUGUUUGAGGGUUUCCGCCCUUAAGUGCCGCAGCUAACGCAUUAAGCACUCCGCCUGGGGAGUACGACCGCAAGGUUGAAACUCAAAGGAAUUGACGGGGACCCGCACAAGCGGUGGAGCAUGUGGUUUAAUUCGAAGCAACGCGAAGAACCUUACCAGGUCUUGACAUCCCUUGACAACUCCAGAGAUGGAGCGUUCCCUUCGGGGACAAGGUGACAGGUGGUGCAUGGUUGUCGUCAGCUCGUGUCGUGAGAUGUUGGGUUAAGUCCCGCAACGAGCGCAACCCUUAUUACUAGUUGCCAGCAUUCAGUUGGGCACUCUAGUGAGACUGCCGGUGACAAACCGGAGGAAGGUGGGGAUGACGUCAAAUCAUCAUGCCCCUUAUGACCUGGGCUACACACGUGCUACAAUGGCGUAUACAACGAGUUGCCAACCCGCGAGGGUGAGCUAAUCUCUUAAAGUACGUCUCAGUUCGGAUUGUAGGCUGCAACUCGCCUACAUGAAGUCGGAAUCGCUAGUAAUCGCGGAUCAGCACGCCGCGGUGAAUACGUUCCCGGGUCUUGUACACACCGCCCGUCACACCAUGAGAGUUUGUAACACCCAAA
RNAcentral lists this ribosomal RNA (1388 nucleotides) under Weissella confusa. RNAcentral describes it as "bacterial SSU rRNA". It matches the Rfam family "Bacterial small subunit ribosomal RNA", at positions 63 to 1425 of the family's 1533-position model. Lineage: Bacteria; Bacillati; Bacillota; Bacilli; Lactobacillales; Lactobacillaceae. The record is from RNAcentral.